The sequence is a transfer RNA, 87 nucleotides long. It matches the Rfam family "tRNA". Rfam says of the family: Transfer RNA (tRNA) molecules are approximately 80 nucleotides in length. Their secondary structure includes four short double-helical elements and three loops (D, anti-codon, and T loops). Further hydrogen bonds mediate the characteristic L-shaped molecular structure. tRNAs have two regions of fundamental functional importance: the anti-codon, which is responsible for specific mRNA codon recognition, and the 3' end, to which the tRNAs corresponding amino acid is attached (by aminoacyl-tRNA synthetases). tRNAs cope with the degeneracy of the genetic code in two manners: having more than one tRNA (with a specific anti-codon) for a particular amino acid; and 'wobble' base-pairing, i.e. permitting non-standard base-pairing at the 3rd anti-codon position. The record is from Rfam.
GCCGGGGUGGCGGAACCUGGUUAUCGCGCGGGCUUGGAGAGCCCGUGGUCCUUCGGGACCUUCUGGGUUCAAAUCCCAGCCCCGGCG